AAGUCGAGCGGUAACAGGGGGAGCUUGCUCCCCGCUGACGAGCGGCGGACGGGUGAGUAAUGCAUAGGAAACUGCCCAGUAGUGGGGGAUAGCCCGGGGAAACCCGGAUUAAUACCGCAUACGCCCUUCGGGGGAAAGCAGGGGAUCUUCGGACCUUGCGCUAUUGGAUGUGCCUAUGUCGGAUUAGCUAGUUGGUGGGGUAAGAGCCUACCAAGGCGACGAUCCGUAGCUGGUCUGAGAGGAUGAUCAGCCACAUCGGGACUGAGACACGGCCCGAACUCCUACGGGAGGCAGCAGUGGGGAAUAUUGGACAAUGGGGGCAACCCUGAUCCAGCCAUGCCGCGUGUGUGAAGAAGGCUUUCGGGUUGUAAAGCACUUUCAGUGAGGAGGAAAACCUUACGACUAAUACUCGUGAGGCUUGACGUUACUCACAGAAGAAGCACCGGCUAACUCCGUGCCAGCAGCCGCGGUAAUACGGAGGGUGCAAGCGUU
This 492-nucleotide ribosomal RNA is filed under the name Marinobacter sp. Ar-132. RNAcentral's name for it is "bacterial SSU rRNA". It matches the Rfam family "Bacterial small subunit ribosomal RNA", at positions 59 to 542 of the family's 1533-position model. The record is from RNAcentral. Lineage: Bacteria; Pseudomonadati; Pseudomonadota; Gammaproteobacteria; Pseudomonadales; Marinobacteraceae.